Long non-coding RNA from Poeciliopsis prolifica (blackstripe livebearer), 576 nucleotides. RefSeq lists it as uncharacterized. The transcript has 4 exons. The record is from RefSeq and is a predicted model, not a curated record. Lineage: Eukaryota; Metazoa; Chordata; Actinopteri; Cyprinodontiformes; Poeciliidae.
CUGAGAUGGCAGAACGCUCAGUUCCUACAGAGAAGGCCAGAGCUUCCAGUUAGAACAACAGAGACAACACCUUACUAGAGGAACAGUUACUACACACAAGAUGGCAAAAGAGCAAAGAAAAAGUUGGCCUUGGUGAACUGCUCCAUGUAGAGCUGUUCAUCUGUGAAAGGAGCCAGGUGCACGUCUCCGAUGGUGGGGAACAUUUUACCUGCGACACACAGCAGCAGCAGAAAGUCAGAAAGACAGAGGCUGUCUCUACAGCUACACAUCUAGAACCUGUCACAGCGUGUGUUUCAUCCAGAGUCCUCGACCUCCUCACCGUUGGGUUUGAGGAACUUCUUGGCGUGCAGCGACACCUCCUCCACCUUCCCGGGGAUCACCACCACCCGCUCACUCAGGCGGUUGCUGUUUACCAGCACCUGCAAGGGAAACACGGCCUGGUAAGAACUGAUCCUGCAGCUCUGUCCAGGAUGGAUGCUAAAUGGAACAGGUGCAAGCAAACAUGGGCACCAUGUUAACGGUCACAGUUCCUACAGACAGGUACGCACCUCAGCAUGCUGAGCCAUGGUGCUGGCC